RNAcentral lists this ribosomal RNA (405 nucleotides) under uncultured bacterium. RNAcentral describes it as "bacterial SSU rRNA". It matches the Rfam family "Bacterial small subunit ribosomal RNA", at positions 370 to 772 of the family's 1533-position model. The record is from RNAcentral.
AAUGGACGAAAGUCCGAUCCAGCCAUCCCGCGUGCAGGAUGAAUGCCCUAUGGGUUGUAAACUGCUUUUGGAAGGGAAGAAACGCCCCGAUUCAUCGGGGCCUGACGGUACCUUCAGAAUAAGCACCGGCUAACUCCGUGCCAGCAGCCGCGGUAAUACGGAGGGUGCAAGCGUUAUCCGGAAUCACUGGGUUUAAAGGGUGCGUAGGCGGCGCAAUAAGUCAGAGGUGAAAGCCUGCGGCUCAACCGUAGAAUUGCCUUUGAUACUGCUACGCUUGAAUCAGGUUGAGGUUGGCGGAAUGUGGCAUGUAGCGGUGAAAUGCAUAGAUAUGCCAUAGAACACCAAUUGCGAAGGCAGCUGACUGGACCUGUAUUGACGCUGAGGCACGAAAGCGUGGGGAGCAAA